This 500-nucleotide ribosomal RNA is filed under the name uncultured bacterium. RNAcentral describes it as "bacterial SSU rRNA". It matches the Rfam family "Bacterial small subunit ribosomal RNA", at positions 26 to 518 of the family's 1533-position model. The record is from RNAcentral.
GCUAGGAUGAACGCUAGCGACAGGCCUAACACAUGCAAGUCGAGGGGCAGCGCGGAGUAGCAAUACUUGGCGGCGACCGGCGCACGGGUGAGUAACACGUAUGCAACCAACCCAUAACAGGGGGGAUAACCCGGAGAAAUCCGGACUAAUACCGCAUAAGACCACGAUAUCGCAUGAUAUAGAGGUCAAAUAUUUAUAGGUUAUGGACGGCAUGCGUCUGAUUAGCUGGUUGGCGGGGUAACGCCCACCAAGGCAUCGAUCAGUAGGGGUUCUGAGAGGAAGGUCCCCCACAUUGGAACUGAGACACGGUCCAAACUCCUACGGGAGGCAGCAGUGAGGAAUAUUGGUCAAUGGGCGAAAGCCUGAACCAGCCAUGUCGCGUGAAGGAUGAAGGUCCUAUGGAUUGUAAACUUCUUUUGCAGGAGGGUAAAGUGAGCUACGUGUAGUUCAUUGCAAGUACCCUGCGAAUAAGCAUCGGCUAACUCCGUGCCAGCAGCAGC